RNAcentral lists this transfer RNA (70 nucleotides) under Marmota monax (woodchuck). RNAcentral describes it as "tRNA.Ala". Lineage: Eukaryota; Metazoa; Chordata; Mammalia; Rodentia; Sciuridae. The record is from RNAcentral.
GGGCUGGGGCUCAGUGGUAGAGCACUUGCCUGGCAUGUGUGAGGCACUGGGUCCGAUUCUCAGCACCACA